CAUUUGUUGAGAUAUGACUUACAUAUAGUAAAAUGCACGAGUCUUAAGUAUACAUUUUUACGUAUGUAUACAUCUAUUUACCUCCCCCCAGGUCAAAAUACAGAACAUUUCCAGCACCACAGAACGCUGACUCCUUGUGCCCCUUCUCAGUCCUUACCCACGCCCAUGAUUGACCACAUUCUGACUUCUGUAGUCGUAGAUCAGUUUUGCCUGUAUUUGAAUUUCAUAUAAAUGGAAUCAUAAGCGCGUGGUGUGGCUGAUGUGAAGCCUUCAAAUGCUGCAGCCCUUUUGCUACCAGGAAUGGAGUCAAAUUUAUGAUGAAGCUCAUACUUUGGAAGACUGGAAGGAAAUUAGUUGCAGCAUGCGGGACGCUGCCUCAGCGUGGUUUGAUGAGCAGUGUCAUGUCCGCACCCAGGAUUCGAACCAAUGAAACACUGGGCCGCCUGCAGCGGAGCGCGCGAACCCAACCGCUCGGCCACGGGGCCAGUCCCCCUUGGUGAUAUUUUUGAUUCACAGAAUCAAACCAAUUGCAAAGCCCACUCAUCCCCUGGAAUUUGCAGUUGUAUGAACCAAUAAACCCUCUUUAUUGUUUAAGCCUAUUGGAGUUGGGCUUUCUGUUACUCACUAAUAAAAAAGGCAUGUUUAGUUUUAAAAUUUUUUGAUAAGUUGCUUUCCAAAAUUUAUACCGGUUUACAAUUCAACAACAAAAUAUGAGAGUGUCUGUUUCUUCACACCCUUGUCAAAACAAUGUAUUAUUAAACUUUCUGAUAUUGCCAUUUUUAUAGGAAAAGAGUGGUAUCUUAUUGUAUUUUUAAUGCAAUCUUUUUAUCAUGAGUAAGCUUAAGCUUCUUUCUAAUAUGCUUAAAAAUCACACGUAUUUCCUUUGUAUGUGUGUGUGUGUGUACUGUUCAUUUCCUUUGCCUAGUUUUUAUUUCUAUUCUUCUUUUUCUUCUUUUUUUUUUUUUUGGAGGAAGAUUAGCCCUGAGCUAACAUCUGCUGCCAGUCCUCCUCUUUUUGCUGAGGAAGACCGGCCCUGAGCUAACAUCCGUGCCCAUCUUCCUCUACUUUAUAUGUGGGACG
This 1080-nucleotide long non-coding RNA is filed under the name Equus asinus (donkey). Its description in RNAcentral is "lncRNA (ENSEASG00005023771.1)". Lineage: Eukaryota; Metazoa; Chordata; Mammalia; Perissodactyla; Equidae. The record is from RNAcentral.